UGCUUUUGUCAGAAACCCGUUAACCAUAAAUCUGCUGGAGAUGUCUCGGUACAGCAGUCCCACCCACGCUACGAACCUCCCAGGAAAACCCAUUUUUUGCAGUACCUGGAAGAGAUGGUGUCUCGGAUCAGUACCAGGCUGUCCGUGAUCCUCCUUCCCGGGACGGCGCAGGCUUGAUCCGGGUGGAUUAGAUCCCCCAACACUCGACGCAUCCUGGCUGCUAAAAGUCUACUAAAAAUCUUACAAUCAACGUUUAAAAGGGUCUUGGAGGGUCUGCCACUCGUGGUACCGCUCCCGGUACUGGCCGACCAGAACCUGGUCCUCCAGCAGGGAGCGGUUGAGUUUCCACAGACCUCUCCCAGUCAUCGCACCUGAAGGAAGUGAAAGCGUGCAGGACAGAAGGAGGUGAUCAGAAAAGAAAGCCGGUGACAAUCUAGCAUCAGUUAGGGCGCAAUCCCUGAUGAAGAAAUAAUCAAUACGAGAGGCCAUAGAGCCGUCACCACUGAACCAGGUGUAGCCCUCCUCUCCAGGAUGCAUAGUUCUAAAACAGUCUACUAGUUUAAAAUCCCUAACGAUUCUUUGUAAUAAAAGUGAUGUUUUGUCUACCUUAAAA
Xiphophorus hellerii (green swordtail) is the source of this 613-nucleotide long non-coding RNA. RefSeq lists it as uncharacterized. The transcript has 3 exons. Lineage: Eukaryota; Metazoa; Chordata; Actinopteri; Cyprinodontiformes; Poeciliidae. The record is from RefSeq and is a predicted model, not a curated record.